UCAACAUUUCUCUGUUUCAGC
RNAcentral lists this non-coding RNA (21 nucleotides) under Caenorhabditis elegans. Lineage: Eukaryota; Metazoa; Nematoda; Chromadorea; Rhabditida; Rhabditidae. The record is from RNAcentral.